Long non-coding RNA from Mauremys reevesii (Reeves's turtle), 2067 nucleotides. RefSeq lists it as uncharacterized. Lineage: Eukaryota; Metazoa; Chordata; Testudines; Geoemydidae. The record is from RefSeq and is a predicted model, not a curated record. The transcript is spliced from 5 exons.
CCCCCAGAUCUUCUCAGCCUGGAGGGGUUUGGGUUUGGUUUUCACUACAGCUGGAUCCACCCACACCUUGGCGAGGCCCCAGGCACCAACCAGUCCCCGGCAAGGAGACACACACCCCCUCCCCCCAUGUCCCAUGGCAAAAUCUUCCCCUGAGCCCUGGCAGCUCAAACCCAGCGGCUGCCCCAUGGCGCGGGCAGGGAGCGCUCCACGCAGGGCGCUGCUCCCCGGGCCCCAGCGCUGGAGGAAGCGGAGCAGCGCCAGUGCUGCCCGCGGUGCCAGGAGCCCAUCCCCCGGAGCCUGCUGCAGCUCUGGGGGCAGCUGGGGAGCACGGUGGGGACCUCCAGGGGUCUGCGGAUCUCCAAGGGAUGUCACAAGCGUGUCUGACCUGUCUGAGGAAAGAGAGAGAAGAAAGCAAAACUUAUAGGGAGAGGAAAAGCAAAGAGCCACUGGGGCUGGUGACCUUUGAGGAGGUGGCUGUGUAUUUCACACGGGGCAGGGGGCUCUGCUGGACCCCGGUCAGAGAGCCCUCUACAGGGACGUCAUGCAGGAGAAUUACAAGACAGUGACCUCACUAUGGCAUCUGAUUUCUAAGCCCAACAUGAUGUCCCAGCAGGAGCGAGGGGAAGACCCGGGCCUCCAGAACUCAGAGAAAAGGGAGAGUCCAGGGGGCACCUGCACAGCAAGUGACUUGACAGUGGCUGAGAACAAGGAGGAGAAUUCUCAGCAGGAGGGCCCUGAGCCAGUGGAGCUGCAUGGGACAGUGUCAAUAAAAUCCAAGAGGAAUGUGUCCCUAAGCCCUGAAUGGGGGGAAUUGCACAGGAUGUCAUCAGUAAAGACCCGAAGGGAACGCUUCACAGAGUUGUGAGCAGGAAAAAGUCUGUGAAUCUCAGUGUGGAUCAGAAAGGCUGCAAGGAAACCAGCUGGGGACAAAUCAGGAUAAACCCACUCAUGGCGUGGGAGGUUUGAAGGAACUCAACAAAAGUGUAACCCAGCCGAGCAACCCUGUGGGAGGGAGACCCCACAGGUGCGCUGAGUGUGGGAAAAGCUUUAGUUGCAACUCAUGCCUUUACGGGCACCGGAGAACCCACGGGGGCGAGAAGCCUUACAAGCAGGGCUUUGUAGUGGAGCCCAGAGCUGAAGCAUGGAGCAGCUCCGGAGAAAUGGAGCUGCAGGUUUUUGCCUGGAGCUGGAGCGGAGCCGGAGCACAGCUCCAAAGCCCUGCUUACAAGUGCCCCAACUGUGAGAAAAGAUUCUGCAGCAGCUAGACCCUUGCCAGCCAUCGCAGGCUGCACAGGGAGAGAAACCCUACGCCUGCUCUGAGUGCAGGAAGAGCUUUAGCUAUAGCUUGUCUCUCGUGACGCACCGGCGAGUCCACACAGGCAAGACACCCUAUUCCUGCCUGCGCUGCGGGAAGAGCUUCCAGCAGAGAUCCAACCUCGCUGUGCAUCAGAUACUCCACUGUGUGAAAAGACCUUACAAAUAAACAAACCCCUGCCCCAUCCCCAGAGCAUUUGCAGUUCUCAGGAAUGUCAGGGGGCAUUCAGUCGCUGGCUGCCUGUCUCUGGGGUCAGGAGACAGCAGAACCUACUCCAGCCUGAUCGGUACCGUUCUCUGGCUCAGCAGGCAGAGGAGGAAAGACCCUGGUCAGUUCCACCUUCCUGCUGCAGCCCCAGCUUCUAAGUUCUUUGCUUCAUGGCAGGGGAGAAAGAUCCUCCCAUCUGCUUUCUGUGCCUGGGAUGGACUCCUCUCCUUUCCCUAUCCCUGGAGAAGGAUACGCCGGCCAUGCCUCACUCCUGAGACCUGUGUCUAGCUUCCCCCAGCACCUGGGCUAGGAUCCCCAUUCACCUGAAUUUGUUACCUGGGGGAUGGACACCCUAUAGACCUCUCAAAGCCCCCAGGGGACUGGCUGCUAGGCCUUGAGCUGUUUGGGCAUCCCCUCCCCAAAUGGUUAUUUGUCUCACGGCCAUCUGUUUUUGCUCAUUUUCUCCUCUUUCAUCUGUGAGAAUUGCCAGAUGGCUGAAAUAUGAAAAAUUACCAAUAAUAAAACAAACGUGUGCUGAAUCUCAG